Molecule: RNA transcript, 821 nt
Organism: Wasmannia auropunctata (little fire ant)
Lineage: Eukaryota; Metazoa; Arthropoda; Insecta; Hymenoptera; Formicidae
Exons: 2
Source: RefSeq, a predicted model, not a curated record
UCUCGCGUGUUGUGUUUCGUUAACGUUUUGCGUUUAUUUCGCAAAAAAUGCGCGAUAUCAUGUUGGAUUAUUUUAUAUGUAGAGCGUUUCGAUACAUCUUAAACGUAAAUUUGUCAGCGGAUGUUGGAGUAUGCAUCGCACCGAGUUCAUUACGCCAUGGAUUCAUAUGCGGAGACAGGAGGCUAGGUUCCGAAACGAGAUGAAAUGUUUGGAUGUGACAAUAAAUUAAUAAGGUAGGACCAUCGACCGAGCGACAUUCGACGACAUACUUUGGCAAUCGCAAGCGGGAGAAGAGAAUCGCUGACGCAAGAUCGGCAUAUGAUCGUUUGCACGACAUAACUCCCUUCGAUCCGGGUAAACCGCGAUGUGAUCGCACGAAGCAGAGUUUCAUUUGGGCGGAGAUACAUGAGGAGAACAAAUGUCACGUCGUGCCAAUGACUGCUAAUCACUGGUACGGUCGACCGAAUAGAGUCCAAAUCGAUUAUCCCGACAUGAAAUUUGCUCAAUCGAGCGAAACCAGGGAUUUCUACAGUCGGCACAUCUCAUCCUGACUCUUGAUAGCGCGGAACGAGAAACUUUCUAUCUUUCUUGUUUUAUGAAAUGUUAGACAAAAUUUGUAAUCUGCAUGCACAUUUUCAAGACGAAAUACAGCUGAAAGAGAUACAAAAAAUUAAUGGCUGGAAUUUAUAAUAUAAAAAAAGCUUUACGCUCUAUUUUCUUGAUCUAUGACAUCUAUGUUUUUCUUUCAUUGACGUUUUACUAUCGUUGAUAUUUUACUGUCGUCGCGUUAAUGUAAUCAAUUAAUAAACGGGUAAAACAUC